ACACUAAAGCGUUAGAGAAAAGCACAAGAAAGUUGAUACAGAAGUGCAAAUUAGUAGUUAACUACAAUAAAUCAAAUAUUAAAUACAGUACAAACACAUAAUAUACGCCACUGCGCUCGAGUGCUUUUGCUUGUCGAUUAAGUAGAUUGACAAAGUAAUAAAAUUGCUUUAUUAAAUCUUGAGAAAAGUUUAAAGUCUCUGCGCACUUUGCUUUAUUUAAUUCUGUAAAUAUUUUCAUUGGGUACGUUACGGUUCUUUGACUCCUGACUCAGUAUUUUGCAUUUUUCUAUUGCAGGGUGACGGGUGUUUGUUACGAAACUUGGAGAACCAUACCCUAAAGCCAUCUAUAUUAUAUAAACCCCACCAGAAUCCAUGCCUCUUAUUAGUUUUGACGAUGCUCAA
RNAcentral lists this unclassified non-coding RNA (402 nucleotides) under Hevea brasiliensis (rubber tree). The record is from RNAcentral. Lineage: Eukaryota; Viridiplantae; Streptophyta; Magnoliopsida; Malpighiales; Euphorbiaceae.